GGGUUGUGAGGUUAAGCGACUAAGCGUACACGGUGGAUGCCCUGGCAGUCAGAGGCGAUGAAGGACGUGCUAAUCUGCGAUAAGCGCCGGUAAGGUGAUAUGAACCGUUAUAACCGGCGAUUUCCGAAUGGGGAAACCCAGUGUGACUCGUCACACUAUCAUUAACUGAAUCCAUAGGUUAAUGAGGCGAACCGGGGGAACUGAAACAUCUAAGUACCCCGAGGAAAAGAAAUCAACCGAGAUUCCCCCAGUAGCGGCGAGCGAACGGGGAGGAGCCCAGAGCCUGAAUCAGCAUGUGUGUUAGUGGAAGCGUCUGGAAAGGCGCGCGAUACAGGGUGACAGCCCCGUACACAAAAGCGCAUGUGCUGUGAGCUCGAUGAGUAGGGCGGGACACGUGGUAUCCUGUCUGAAUAUGGGGGGACCAUCCUCCAAGGCUAAAUACUCCUGACUGACCGAUAGUGAACCAGUACCGUGAGGGAAAGGCGAAAAGAACCCCGGCGAGGGGAGUGAAAAAGAACCUGAAACCGUGUACGUACAAGCAGUGGGAGCACAGGUUUACCUGUGUGACUGCGUACCUUUUGUAUAAUGGGUCAGCGACUUAUAUUCUGUAGCAAGGUUAACCGAAUAGGGGAGCCGC
This 637-nucleotide ribosomal RNA is filed under the name Salmonella enterica subsp. enterica serovar Tennessee. RNAcentral's name for it is "bacterial LSU rRNA". It matches the Rfam family "Bacterial large subunit ribosomal RNA", at positions 1 to 669 of the family's 2925-position model. The record is from RNAcentral. Lineage: Bacteria; Pseudomonadati; Pseudomonadota; Gammaproteobacteria; Enterobacterales; Enterobacteriaceae.